AUUGAACGCUGGCGGCAGGCCUAACACAUGCAAGUCGCACGCGUGGCGGACGGGUGAGUAAUUUCUGGGAAACUGCCUGAUGGAGGGGGAUAACUCCUGGAAACGGUAGCUAAUACCGCCUACCCUCCGAUGUGCCCAGAUGGGAUUAGCUUGUUGGUGGGUUAAAGGAUCACCAAGGCGACGAUCCCUAGCUGGUCUGAGAGGAUGACCAGCCACACUGGAACUGAGACACGGGCCAGACUCCUACGGGAGGCAGCAGGGGGGAAUAUUGCACAAUGGGCGCAAGCCUGAUGGAGCCAUGCCGCGUGUAUGAAGAAGGCCUUCGGGUUGGAAAGUACUUUCAGCGGGGAGGCGUUACCCGCAGAAGAAGCACCGGCUAACUCCGUGCCAGCAGCCGCGGUAAUAC
Molecule: ribosomal RNA, 406 nt
Filed under: uncultured bacterium
Lineage: Bacteria
Description: partial 16S ribosomal RNA
Rfam family: Bacterial small subunit ribosomal RNA
Source: RNAcentral